GACAAAAAUGUCAUAGAAACAAUUUUUUAUACCUAUAUAUGCAUACAUAUAUUUACAUAUUUGCAUGCAUUUUGAUCAAAGGCGAUAAAGCAACUGAUCAUAAAGUGGUGGACUGCAUCAUGUUUUGACUCUUCAGCAUAGCCUUGCUAUGAAGUCUCCAGUUUUAUUCUCAGAGAAUCUUCAUUUCUGGUCAUUGGCCUUCCUGUUGUCCACCUUUUCUUGGAUGAAGUCUAGACAAGAAGAUAAUGAGAAGAAUUAAAAAUGUCAGUGGGAUUCUGCUGUAAGUUGUUUAUUAUGUAUUAUUCUCCUUUCCUGAUGGGUUAUCCACUAUACUUGUUUCUUCUACUUCUGUGCAGCAGUUAACAACCAUCUUUCAGUUGGUCUGGUCAACAGGAGAAGACAUGAGACUGAUACCUUUUAUCAUCAUGCAUCAGAAUUGUCAGUCUAGAAAUGGUAAGGUAAGAAUGCAGAACUUAUCUGAAUCAAAUCUCCAGAAAAAGAUUUAGCCAGAGAAAG
RNAcentral lists this long non-coding RNA (516 nucleotides) under Apteryx rowi (Okarito brown kiwi). Its description in RNAcentral is "lncRNA (ENSARWG00000001649.1)". The record is from RNAcentral. Lineage: Eukaryota; Metazoa; Chordata; Aves; Apterygiformes; Apterygidae.